AGGAGUGUCAUGAUCGACAACAUUGACAAAGUGUUGCAGAGGGGAGAUCGGCUGGCGCUGCUAGUUGAAAAAACUUCCACAUUGCAAGGAAAUACAAUUCGCUUUCGGCGACAGACUCAGCGUUUCAGAAAUACACAGUGGUGGAGAAAUUUCAAGCUCAAGGCUACAUUGAUACUAUUUCUCUUGAUUUUCAUUUAUACUGUACUCGCAUUGUUUUGUCACGGCCCUUCACUUCAUUCCUGCUUGAAGUAGAAACGCACAAGAUCAGCUGCUGCUGCUGCUGGAUGGCUUAUUAUUACAUAUUCAUGGGUUUGUCCUACUUCUUUCACUUUGUAAUUCUUUUAUUCAAAUGAAAUUCAGUGUUGUAAUUUUCGAGCAAUCCUCAGGAGAUUCAAAUCUCUUGUACAUGUACAAAGGAUUCAAAAGAAAUCCUGACACAUAAGUAAGCGUGCAUGUACUCUGUUACUCUGUUCCAACAUUUUAAUGCAGGGAGUUGAACUGAAA
Molecule: long non-coding RNA, 504 nt
Organism: Populus trichocarpa (black cottonwood)
Lineage: Eukaryota; Viridiplantae; Streptophyta; Magnoliopsida; Malpighiales; Salicaceae
Exons: 2
Source: RefSeq, a predicted model, not a curated record